RNAcentral lists this transfer RNA (71 nucleotides) under Aspergillus clavatus NRRL 1. Its description in RNAcentral is "tRNA-Gly (TCC) (tRNA-Gly-TCC-1-1)". It matches the Rfam family "tRNA". Rfam says of the family: Transfer RNA (tRNA) molecules are approximately 80 nucleotides in length. Their secondary structure includes four short double-helical elements and three loops (D, anti-codon, and T loops). Lineage: Eukaryota; Fungi; Ascomycota; Eurotiomycetes; Eurotiales; Aspergillaceae. The record is from RNAcentral.
GCGUUAGUGGUGUAGCGGUAACAUACUUGCCUUCCAAGCAAGUGCUCGGGGUUCGACUCCCCGCUGACGCA